This 779-nucleotide ribosomal RNA is filed under the name uncultured Neocallimastigales. RNAcentral describes it as "partial large subunit ribosomal RNA". It matches the Rfam family "Eukaryotic large subunit ribosomal RNA", at positions 24 to 614 of the family's 3401-position model. The record is from RNAcentral. Lineage: Eukaryota; Fungi; Neocallimastigomycota; Neocallimastigomycetes; Neocallimastigales.
UUAUCUCUGUAGAGUCUGCAUAUCAAUAAGCGGAGGAAAAGAAACUAACAAGGAUUCCCUUAGUAACGGCGAGUGAAGCGGGAAGAGCUCAAAUUUGAAAUCUUCAAGGUUUGACCUUGACGAAUUGUAGUUUAUAGAAGUGUUUUCUGUUGGAGUUUUGGUAAAAGUUCUUUGGAAUAGGACAUCAUAGAGGGUGAGAAUCCCGUAUUUGACCAUGACUUUCCAGCUGUGUGAUACACUUUCAAAGAGUCGGAUUGUUUGGGAAUGCAGUCCAAAAUGGGUGGUAAAUUUCAUCUAAAGCUAAAUAUUGGCGAGAGACCGAUAGCGAACAAGUACCGUGAGGGAAAGAUGAAAAGAACUUUGAAAAGAGAGCUAAACAGUACGUGAAAUUGUCAAAAGUGAAGCGUUUGACACCAGUGUUGUUUUCUCGAAAAUCAAUUAAAUGGCGGAUUCUUGUUUUAAGUAUGUGACUUUAUCAGGCAUUUCUUCACUUUUUCCUGGCUCAUUUGAGUGCACUUUUCGUUUAACAAGUCAACAUCAAUUUCUUUUGUUGUAAAAGGGUCAUUGGAAGGUGGCUUUCUUUUCGGAGAAAGUGUUUAUAGCCUUUGGCCUCUGCAAUCGGAGAGAUUGAGGUCUGCAGCGUAGAUCCUUCGGGGUUAGAUACAUUUGUGCUAAGUUAUAGCCUUUCAUAGACAACUUGUUGACUAUGAUCAGUCAUGUAGCUUACUCGCUUAUGCUAUUUUACCUACGCUUAGGAUGUUGAGUCAUCACACAUCUCU